UGUCAUGACCGGCAGUACGCAAGCGUUG
This 28-nucleotide small RNA is filed under the name Bombyx mori (domestic silkworm). RNAcentral's name for it is "ovarian small RNA-3874". The record is from RNAcentral. Lineage: Eukaryota; Metazoa; Arthropoda; Insecta; Lepidoptera; Bombycidae.